Molecule: ribosomal RNA, 446 nt
Filed under: uncultured bacterium
Lineage: Bacteria
Description: partial 16S ribosomal RNA
Rfam family: Bacterial small subunit ribosomal RNA
Source: RNAcentral
CCUACGGGGGGCAGCAGUCGAGAAUCAUUCACAAUGGGGGAAACCCUGAUGGUGCGACGCCGCGUGGGGGAAUGAAGGUCUUCGGAUUGUAAACCCCUGUCAUGUGGGAGCAAAUUAAAAAGAUCGUACCACAAGAGGAAGAGACGGCUAACUCUGUGCCAGCAGCCGCGGUACUACAGAGGUCUCAAGCGUUGUUCGGAAUCACGGGGCGUAAAGCGUGCGUAGGCUGUUUCGUAAGUCGUGUGUGAAAGGCGCGGGCUCAACCCGCGGACGGCACAUGAUACUGCGAGACUAGAGUAAUGGAGGGGGAACCGGAAUUCUCGGUGUAGCAGUGAAAUGCGUAGAUAUCGAGAGGAACACUCGUGGCGAAGGCGGGUGCCUGGACAUUAACUGACGCUGAGGCACGAAGGCCAGGGGAGCGAAAGGGAUUAGAUACCCCGGUAGUC